This 358-nucleotide ribosomal RNA is filed under the name Monacha cantiana. RNAcentral's name for it is "partial 16S ribosomal RNA". The record is from RNAcentral. Lineage: Eukaryota; Metazoa; Mollusca; Gastropoda; Stylommatophora; Hygromiidae.
AAAAGGUAGCAUAAUCAAUUGGCUUAUAAUUGAAGUCUGGCAUGAAAGGGAAUUUGGGAUGUAGCUGUCUUUAAUAUAAUAAAAAGAAAUUACUAAAUAAGUGAAAAUUCUUAUAAACUAUAAAUAAGACGAGAAGACCCUAGAAAUUUUUAAAAAACUAAGUGUAUAUUCUUUUUGUUGGGGCGACAGGGUUACAUAAAACUAACUUGUAUAUAUAAGAAAAUUAUACUUUGUACAAAUAAAUUACUCUAGGGAUAACAGCAUAAUAUUUAAAAGUUUGUGACCUCGAUGUUGGACUAGGGAGUGCAAUACCUAGAAGGUACUGUAAUAAGCUCUGUUCGAGCUUAACACCCUACAU